GGCAGGCAGGUUCUUUACCACUAGUGCCACCUGGGAAGCCCUCAAGAAAGAAGAACCAGGAGCCUUUUGUUCCUGUUUUGAGGAUUCAUGAAUGUCUCUGAAGAUGUUAAAUAGAUAUUCAUCUCCCCCACCUUUUAAAGUUUUCUGCUCCCUGCACUGUUGCUGAUAAACCUGUUUAUCCCAGUUUCUUUGUGUUUUACUUUUUGGUUUUGUCUUUCACGUUAGAGGCUUUCUUGGAUGUCUUGUGAUCCUUGACUAUCCAUUCACUUACCAACUGUUGGGUUCAUCCUAGGAUGCAUGAGAGGCAGAAUCAUGACAAAAUGUCCACAUCCUAAACCCCAGAACUUGUAGAAAUGUUGCAUCACAUGGCAGAAAGGACUUUGCAGAUGAGUUUCAGGUUAAGACCCUUGAGAUGGAGAGAGCAGCCUUCAUUACCCAGGUGGGAUCAAUCUAAUCACUCGAGCCCAUAAAAGAGAGAAUGGUUCCCAGCUGUCUUCAGAGGGAGACUUGACUACCUAAGAAAGGUCAGAGAGUUGCCACAUUGCUGGUGUUGAAAAUGGAGGAUGUGAGUCACAAGCCAGAGAAUACAGUCGGCUUCUUAGAAGCUGGGGGGAAAAAAGGUAACAGAAUCUCUGCCAGAACUUCCAGGAGGGAAUGCAGCCUGCGGACACUGCUUUUACCCCAGUGAGACCUGCUUCAGACUUCUGGCCUCUAGAAUGAGAGCUGGUGGAGAUGGAGCUGCAGUGUGUGUCCAUGGAGCAGAUUAAACACUAUCUGCCCCAACCUGCCUGAGACUGUCCUCUCCCUGGCUGGCAGUACUUGAAUGGGGAAAAAAAAAAAAAAAGCAAUCCUCCCAAGCUCCCAGCAAGCAGGAGUCCCAAGAGUCAUGACCAGGAUCUCAUCACAAAGUGGAAUUCAUCUCUCAAAAGAAGUGUAUGGCUGACCGGACUUCAUCAAUUCAGAUAUGUCUGCCCCUGGUCUGAAAUGGAAGGUAAGUAGAAGGUCAAGACCAGCGCUCAGGACGCUGGAGAACUCCCUGCUGAGGUCAGAGUGGGUCACUGUCCUGUCACAGUUCUUCCGACACGCUGAUUCUUGGUGAGAGCAACAGUGCGUUUCUGCCUGCCUUUGGCAUCGCUCACAUUCAUGUUUUUCUCACUUAAUAGGCUGUAAGCCUUUUGAUGUCAGGGUCCACAUUCCCAGCACACGCCUUGCACAGUGUAGCUAAGCACUCAGUGUAGAGUUGGCAUGAAAAGUGCUGUUUUCCACAAACUGUUCAUAGAGGAUUAACCUAUGAUAAAGCUUUAUGUCAACACAGAUUUGCUGGGUGUCAGCAAGGCAGCACCACACUGAAGUUGGAAACCCCCACUCUGAGAAGCAGAAGCCUCUCUCUAACCAUUGUCUUUGGGAGUAUGGCAUAGCUGUUGCUACUCCCUUAGAAACUGAGGGUAAAAUAUUGCGCUCGACCUGUAUUCCACUGACUUUGGCACCAGCUGGUUUUUAGACUAUUUAAAAACCUACUCAUAUUCAAAUGGAGUUCUGGAACUAGGAGCAUCCUAAUCUAUAAAUUUUAGCCAGAAGUUCUCUGCCUAUCUUACAUUCCCUAAAAGGAGUUCAGGGAGCAGAUGGACUUUAUAGCUUAAAUAUGUGGCUUUAGGAGGGGCACACACUUCCUUAUACCACUUUAAAGACAUUCCACAUCCGUGAGAACGUAAAUCUACUGCCAUCGUAGGAGCUGAAUUUUCAAAGAUCAGAUGAUUCAGCACCAUGGUCAGGGCCAAAGAGAUUAAAUUUGGGCCUGAAGUAAAUCCCCUCUAUAGGAGAGAAAUAAAGGGACUCUUUAUCUGAAGAAUUCUCCUUCUAAACAAUAAUGAGAUACCACUACAUCUACUAGAAUGGCAAAAAUGCAGAACGCUGCCAAAACCAAAUGCCAAGAAGAAUGUGGUGCAACAAGAAUUAUUCAUCACAGGUGGGAAUGCAGAAUGGUUCCUAUCAACCACUCUGGAAGGUAGUCUAGCACCUCACAAAACUAAACAUACUCUUACCAUACAAUCCAGCAAUCAUGUCCCUUGAAAGAGUUGAAAACUUAUAUCCACAUUAAAACCUGUACAUGGAUGUUUAUAGCAGAUUUAUCCAUAAUUGCCAAAACUCAGAGAUAACCAAGAUGUCCUUCAGUAGGUGAAUGGAUAAAGAAGGGGUGGUACAUCCAGACAAUGGAAUAUUAUUCAGCACCCAAAGAUGAGCUGUUGAACCUUGAAAAGGAAACUUAAGUGCAUGCUGGUAAGUGAAAGAAGCCAAUUCAAAAAGGCUGAAAACUGUAUGACUCCAACUAUAUGCCAUUCUGGAAAAGGUAAAACUCGGGAGACAAGAGAAAGACCGGUGGUUGCCAGAGGGUAGGUGGGGAUGGAGGGAUAAACAAGUGGAGAACAGGGAAUUUUUCAGGACAGUGAAAAUACUCUGCAUGAUGCUGGAGUGGUGGGUACCUGCCCCUGUAGAUCUGUCCAGACUGUAGAAUAUACAGCACCGAGAGUGAACCCUCAUGUGAGCUAAGGACUUGGAGUGAUAACAAUGCGUCACUGUAGCUUCAUCAUUUGUGACAAGUGUACACCCUGGUGGGGGAUAUUGUAAUAGCAGAGGCUAUCCACAUAUGAGGACCGAUUAUACGGGAAGCCUCUGAACCUUCCUAAAACUUUUGCUGUAAUCCUAAAACAUUUUUUUAAACUUUUUUUUUUUAAAGAAGUCUUUAAAAAAGAAUUUACCUUCUUCCCUGACUCUAAUGGCUGGUCAAGCCAGUGCUCAGGGCAGCCAAAGAAAAGACGCUCGAAGCCCCAGCUCCACACUGUGACAGGAACCACUCUGUCCUCAGGUGUUGCCUGGACUGGAACCCGUAUCCAUAACCACAGGUCUCAAUCUGGACUUACUCCUUUAAGUGUAAGAGUUUGGAGGUGGCUGCUUUUCCCCUGCUGAUUUUCAAUGUCUGCUAAUCUGAAAUAGAAAAAGCCAUCAUAUCUUUUAGUUGUGUUAAUCCAGAUGUCUGAGGGGUCCUCUAAAACAGAAGGUAGGGGCUGUCCUCAAGGACCCUGAAGGAAGACUUGGCCCCAGAAUCAUCCUUUGCCCUUCACAAUGGCUCUUCUAUAGGAAAAGCUAAACCUAUGUGAGUCCAGGCAAACUUAUAAUGCAGAGGGGGCAGGAACUAACAUCUCCUGACCAACCCCUGUGUGCCAGGUGUGAAAUGGUAACCGCCUUGUCAUCUGCACAGCAGCCUGACGCAAGUGCGAGUCUCUAACGCCAGUUCACAGGAACAUGUGCACAAGCACGGAUGAGGCGCACGGCCGCGGAGGGUGGAGGAGAAACCCAUUCUUGUUAAUAACCUGUGUGCUUUGCAUUAUGUGAUACAUGCAGUCCUAAAGAUACGAGUUAAGCUCUACAUUCAUGUUGUGUUGUCUUAGAGAACACUCAUUCAGGUUUUUUCUUCCCUUAUUUCAAAAAGUUUAGAAUCCAGAACUAGAAUUGAAAUCCUUCCAGUGGGAAUAUAAAAUGCUAAAUGAAAUACUUGGUGGUAGAUGACUAAUUGCUUUUCUGAUCUAUUUGAGAAUGUAUAAGAUUGAACAAUGUAGAAUGUAUAAAAUUGAAACCACAGUAAGUUAAUAUUACAAAGUGGCAUGGACACACACACGCAUGCCACCCUCAUUAGGUCCUAAUGGGGAUACACUGCAGACUUCCCAGGUGGCACUAGUGGUAAAGAACCCUCCUGCCAAUGCAGGAGACACAAGAGGUGCAGGUUUGAUCCCUGGGUCAGGAAGAUCCCCUGGAGGAGGGCAUGGCAACCCACUCCAGAAUUCUUGCAUGGAGAAUCCCACGGACAGAGGAGCUUGGUGAGCUACAGUCCAUAGGGUUUCAAAGAGUUGGACAUGACUGAAGUGAACUAGCACGCAUGGGGAUACACUGCAGGUUCCGUCCCCAUAACAAGUGUCCUAGGAAGCACAGCAGUGAUGACAAUCACAGGAUGUAGUAAUUAAUUACCGUUAGUUGAGUGCCUGGAUGCUUUACUUCAAGAUCUCCUUCAAAUUCUCACUUAUUCUUUUUUUGCAAGUUCUAAAACCAGAUGCUUUUUUUAAUACAAAAGUCUAAUUGCUGUGGAAUCUAAUGUAUGUCCUCCUUUCAUACCAGAUAUCCUCCUUCGCAAAUAUUUAAUUUACAACCCUCCCAUGACUCACCUUUUGGAAAUGAUCUAGAAGGAACCACACCUCUUUUGGUCCCACCUACACACAUUGCUAAGUCUUCAACUUUGGGAAAAAGCAUUCCUGAGUUAUGUUAAGUAAUAUGAGACAAUAAAACGGACUUGUCUUACAAACACAAAACUAUAAUGACAAAUCAGAUUUUUUUUUUUUUAGGCCUCAUGUGCUGCUUUCUCAUACCCCACAACCUAUACUUAUAAAAUCUCUGCCCUUUUUUGGCAUGAGUCAUGCCUGGAGAACAUCAUAAGAGAGCCUGUGCCUAGUUAAAUAUGAAAUUCUUUUUGAAUUAGUGAAAAGAGACAAAGGGAAAUGAAGCCUGUAUACCUAAUGGUAGUAUAAAAUGAACAAAACCAUGAAGGAUAAAGCGAUGAAAGGCGAUGAAAGGUAAAAACGAUGUUCUGUGUCUUUUUGGGGAUCGUAGAAAUUUCUAAGUUCCCAGCAUUUACCCAAUUUGACGAUACUAUGAAAAAAUAAUGUACACAAAAUUCACAUUCAAAUAACUCCUGUGGCAGGCAUCUCCUUUCUUUUCCCAUUCUAACAGAACGCCAGUCGUGUUCAGAGGAUGAGACAAAAUGUACCCCCCACUAAAAAUACUUGCCCACUACACGAGAUGGUCCUGUGACAGUAAAGGUCUACACAACAGAAAUUAACACAACACUGCAAAUCAACUAUACUUCAAAAAAAUGCUGAAGUCAAUGGAAUUUCACCAUUUAGAUUGGCAAAAAUCACCAUCUGACAUCACCAGUGUCAGCAAGGUUGUGGGGAAGUGGGAUCUCGCACACCCCACCAGGAGGUGGGUAAACUGAUGCAGCUACUGACGAGAGCAGUUUUCCAGAUCUAGUGAAACUUAGGAUGAACACACCAAGUAGCCCAGGAAGUCUUGCAGCGUGCACGAGAGAGCUGGAGAGGGAGGAGUGCUAUUUUACAGCAGUGAAGCCCUGGAAAUAAUCUAGGUGUCUGUUAACAAGCAAACUGACAGAAACAUCAGGACACACUCUUACAAUACCCAAGUGAACAAACGCAAAGCUCACAUCUACACAAGGAUAUGAAAUGAUUUAGUGGAAUGCUGCAGCCACGUCUCAAGAGCUAUUUGUUAAAAUUUCAGGAAUUUUAUGAGCUGGUUGAUAUUAUAUCAGUAGUUUGAGGUCAGUCACGUUAGGAGUAUUUACAACACUGAAAUUAGAACAAGCAAUAAAUCACACCCCUUUUCACCAUCACAAGAGCUGGUGGUUAAGCAUUUACCAGCACGUCACUAGACAGACUUCAAACACAGCAUUUAUUUUAAAAGGCAAGUUGCAGAAUGACACCAGUGUGGUGGCAUAUAUUUAGAGCUUAAAAACAUAUAGAAAAGUUAUAUAUUUAUAAUAUUUAUCAAUGGUAAUAAAAUGCAGUCUAGAAGGAGAAAUGCCGGAUUUGUGAUAACAAUUGUCUCUGGAGAGGGGGGCAAUGUAAUAGGCAUGAUGGAAGGGAAAGAGAGGACUUGAACUUUUUAUCUGUUAUGUUCUAUUUAUUUUAAAAUAUCUUAAACUAAAAAGUGAACAAAAAGUUAAUUUUUUUCAAUUAUGGGCACUAAGGAUAAAAAUGUUGACUAUUCUAUGUUUAUCUCUAUUAUUUAGAUUUUAAGAUAAAAAGCAAAGAAUGAGUCCAAGGAAAACUUGCAUAUCACAUUUCAUUGAUGCCAUGACAUUGACAAUAAGAUUCACUAUUAUUUUAUAUACCACUGAGUUUUGACAUCUGUCAUUUAAACCAUGUUGAUGAGGGCAUAUAGAAUCUUAAAAUCACGCAUUUUAGAAACAAAAGUAAAUGUGUCUUAGAGUUGAUAAAACGUGAUAUAUUGGAUUAUGUAGAAUUUUGCAGCUUCUACACAAAUAGCAUUGUAUCAGGAAAUGAGUUUGGUGCAUACCACCACAUAAUAACAGUGCUUAAACAGCUUAGAAGUUUAUCUUCAUUUCACAUGGACUCAGUCAUGAUGUGGACAGCCCAGGACUCAUGAACUAUCUAUCCUGUCUACAUGAUUUGCUCAGACCCCCAGAUAUCCUAUAUGUCAUCCUAUAUUCAAUAUUUGGCUUCCAUUUUCAAAGUUACUUUAUGGCCCAAGAUGGCUGCUGGAGUGCCAGCCAUCAAUCACAUUCUAGAUGUAUGCCUGGGAGAGGAAAAGGGCAAAAUGCCUUCCUCCCAGCUUAGCUCUCUUUGAGGUAUGCUUAAGGAAAUCUUCAUAUAUCCAUAAAAUGGGAAAAGCUCUAUGAAGGCAAGAGUCCUAUCUGUUUUACCAGUGCAUCCCCAGCACCUAGCACCAAGCAGAGCAUGCUGAGGCACUGAAGGAAAAAAAAAAAAAAAUGUGAAAUGAAUGGAUACUUGCAAAGAAAUGGAUAAAAUGCACCAUAACCAUUUAAAUAUUUUCAUAAGUAAGAAACAGGGACAUGUCUGUUACAAUAGAAUUUGUGAAAACAUUAUAGUGUAAUCCUAAUUUUAUUGAAAAUGUAUGCCUAGGGAAAGAAAGGAAUAUGCUAAUCUAUUAACUGGUUUUCUAAAUAUAUGGUGAAAUGUCUCUGAUUUUUAAUAAUUUUUUUAUACUUUUAUAAAUUUUCCAAAUUUAUGCAAUAAGCCAGAAUAUUUUUCUGAUUAGAAAAACCCGGUAAGCUUCAAAAUCCCCCAAUCAAUCAAUCAAUCAAGAAGAAGAAUGUUUUCGUCUAAGUAUUAAAAUCAGGUAGUGAGUUUAUAAACCAAAAGAAGUAAUCAACAGCCACAUAUGCUGUGGAGAGUCUAACAAUGCCACUUCUCUUAUCCAGCAGCUUUGUUUUAUUAAUACAGUUGGGGAAAAGAGAUGUUGACAUUUGCAGAUGACACCCAUGUGGAACCAUGCCUAGCCUGCAUUUGGGGCAGCAAAUUGAUUCCCUAUCCCAUAUCUCAGUUUUUCAACCUAAUGGUUAGCAUGUGUAUGUGCUAAG
Molecule: long non-coding RNA, 7183 nt
Organism: Bubalus bubalis (water buffalo)
Lineage: Eukaryota; Metazoa; Chordata; Mammalia; Artiodactyla; Bovidae
Exons: 3
Source: RefSeq, a predicted model, not a curated record